This 245-nucleotide ribosomal RNA is filed under the name uncultured bacterium. RNAcentral describes it as "partial 16S ribosomal RNA". It matches the Rfam family "Bacterial small subunit ribosomal RNA", at positions 524 to 768 of the family's 1533-position model. The record is from RNAcentral.
UACAGAGGGUGCAAGCGUUAAUCGGAAUUACUGGGCGUAAAGGGUGCGUAGGUGGUUUAAUAAGUUAGGUGUGAAAGUCCUGGGCUUAACCUGGGGAUUGCGCCUAAUACUGUUAAGCUAGAGUACUGUAGAGGGAGGUGGAAUUUCCGGUGUAGCAGUGAAAUGCGUAGAUAUCGGAAGGAACAUCAGUGGCGAAGGCGACUUCCUGGACAGAUACUGACACUGAGGCACGAAAGCGUGGGGAG